Molecule: long non-coding RNA, 1115 nt
Organism: Herpailurus yagouaroundi (jaguarundi)
Lineage: Eukaryota; Metazoa; Chordata; Mammalia; Carnivora; Felidae
Exons: 2
Source: RefSeq, a predicted model, not a curated record
CCCACAGGCCUAGCUAAGAGAAUCUCUUUGAAAUAGGGAUGGGAGGCCAUAAGGGAGGUGGAACUCAUGCACAUCCUUAUUGGAGGAACCAUGAUUUUUGCCAGCUGUGAGCCCUCAGCCUGGACUGAACUCCCUCCUGAUGCAGACACCUGAAUGACUGGCAUUCUGCACUUCCAAAGGAGCCAAGGAUGCUGCGCUGAAAAGGAAUUAGAUGAAAUUAAACUGAACUUAGACUUUAGUUUUCAAUAUUGGGAGACACUGAAACGUUCUAAAAGACACAGAAUGGUUAUAAACCUGGACUGGAGCCCACCCCUAUUAUAGUUAAGAGACUAAUUUCUCUCUGUGAGGGUUCUCGAGAAUCAUUUAUAGAAGAGGCUUUUGAGAUGCUUAAAAAAAAAAAAAAAUCAGAAGCAAACUCAUCCAAAACUGAGUUAGUUUAGGAGUGCCAAUUAGUCCCGUAUUUAAUCUGUAUCAGACGACAAGCGUUUCAGCCUGAAGAGCCACGCACCAGACUACGGAGAAACACUCCUCCCCCAAUGUGGCUGGAGCCCCACGAAAGGGCUUCAGCUGAGUUCAGGUACUGUCUCCUUUGAAUGAAGACUCAUUAAGGGCCAUUUCCUUAACUCAUGAAAAUCCUGUGGUGUAUGCUCAUAAGGAGGAGAGAAAAAGGCAAGUUCUACGAUGCAACCUUUCUGGAAGCUGGCCAGGAAUUUGAAGGCUGAGAUUUAAAAAACCAGACCAAAUUCUCCUGGGGUACCAGGAAAGCUUAGGAAAUCAUCCUGAUCUAGCUCUCCACCGGUGACACAGCAAACGCAGGGCACCGAGGCUACUUUUAGGCAGACAGGCUUGAAUGGAGACAGGGCCACAUGACCACCUGGCUGAACACAGGCCCAUCAGGUGACCCACCCCAAAAUAUCCAUAGGCCCUAACUGACCAAGGGGAUAUUUACAAAUACGGUUAUAAAAAAGGGGAGAAUCCCAUACUUCAUCACGCCUCCUCAUCUUCCCCCUUUAAAACCAGCCCCCUCCCCACUACCUCCGGCCAGACAGCCUCUUCUCUGCUGUCACGCCCCUCCGCCCCCUUGCCUUAUUUUCAAUACACUUCUAUGGCCUUCA